GAUGAACGCUGGCGGCGUGCCUCAAACAUGCAAGUCGAGCGGGGCUAUGUAAUAUCGCAAGGUAGAACAUAGCCUAGCGGCGAACGGGUGAGUAACACGUGGGUAACCUGCCUGGAAGACAGGGAUAACGAUUCGAAAGGGUCGCUAAUACCUGAUAAUAUCCUUUCAUCGCAUGGUGAUAGGAAGAAAGGGGAAACCCGCUUUCAGAUGGGCCCGCGUCCCAUCAGCUAGUUGGUAAGGUAAAGGCUUACCAAGGCGACGACGGGUAGCCGGUCUGAGAGGAUGUACGGCCACACUGGGACUGAGAUACGGCCCAGACUCCUACGGGAGGCAGCAGUUGGGAAUCUUAGGCAAUGGACAAAGUCUGACCUAGCGACGCCGCGUGAGGGAAGAAGGCCUUCGGGUUGUAAACCUCUGUCAUGGGGGAAGAAGUAAGUGACGGUACCCAAGAGGAAGCCCCUGCUAACUACGUGCCAGCAGCCGCGGUAAAAGUCUCUAU
RNAcentral lists this ribosomal RNA (499 nucleotides) under uncultured bacterium. RNAcentral's name for it is "bacterial SSU rRNA". It matches the Rfam family "Bacterial small subunit ribosomal RNA", at positions 28 to 530 of the family's 1533-position model. The record is from RNAcentral.